This 410-nucleotide long non-coding RNA is filed under the name Ovis aries (sheep). RNAcentral describes it as "lncRNA (ENSOARG00000026184.1)". Lineage: Eukaryota; Metazoa; Chordata; Mammalia; Artiodactyla; Bovidae. The record is from RNAcentral.
UAAAAAGCUUAUUUUAAUUUAUUAUCAUUAUUUAUAUCUCUUACAGGCAGGUAGAAGAAUGCAGAAUAUGACCAUCCACUUUGUUUUCGACCCAGGUGACCUCAGCAUUCACUUACAUCUCCAGAAAACUGAGGGUUUCAUGGUCAUUGCCAAGCAGGGGAUAUGUGUACCAUGGAUGUUCCACCUUCCUUCAGUCGGAUUUUCUGCUCACCUUUAUGGAGCACUUCCUGUUUAUGAAGCCUUUCACAUUCAUCAUCUCAUUUGGCCAACAUAACCACCUUGGGAUGUAGGUAUGGUCGUUAUUCCCAUUUCAUGGAUGAGAAAAAUGAGGCUCAGGGAAGUAAAGUGACCUGCACAUGCUUUCCCAGCUCGUAGGCAUUGGAACCAGAACCUGAAUCCAGACUUUCUGG